UGCAGUCGAACGAUGAAAGCUGGAGCUUGCUCUAGCUGGAUUAGUGGCGAACGGGUGAGUAACACGUGAGCAAUCUGCCCUGGACUCUGGGAUAACCCCGAGAAAUCGGAGCUAAUACCGGAUACGACACCUCCCGGCAUCGGGUGGGUGUGGAAAGAAUUUCGGUCCAGGAUGAGCUCGCGGCCUAUCAGCUUGUUGGUGAGGUAACGGCUCACCAAGGCGACGACGGGUAGCCGGCCUGAGAGGGUGACCGGCCACACUGGGACUGAGACACGGCCCAGACUCCUACGGGAGGCAGCAGUGGGGAAUAUUGCACAAUGGGCGCAAGCCUGAUGCAGCAACGCCGCGUGGGGGACGAAGGCCUUCGGGUUGUAAACCUCUUUUAGUAGGGAAGAAGCGCAAGUGACGGUACCUACAGAAAAAGCACCGGCUAACUACGUGCCAGCAGCCGCGGUAAUACGUAGGGUGCAAGCGUUGUCCGGAAUUAUUGGGCGUAAAGAGCUCGUAGGCGGUUUGUCGCGUCUGCUGUGAAAAUCCGAGGCUCAACCUCGGACCUGCAGUGGGUACGGGCAAACUAGAGUGCGGUAGGGGAGAUUGGAAUCCCUGGUGUAGCGGUGGAAUGCGCAGAUAUCAGGAGGAACACCAAUGGCGAAGGCAGAUCUCUGGGCCGUAACUGACGCUGAGGAGCGAAAGCGUGGGGAGCGAACAGGAUUAGAUACCCUGGUAGUCCACGCCGUAAACGGUGGGAACUAGAUGUGGGGUCCGUU
Molecule: ribosomal RNA, 767 nt
Filed under: uncultured Actinomycetales bacterium
Lineage: Bacteria; Bacillati; Actinomycetota; Actinomycetes; Actinomycetales
Description: bacterial SSU rRNA
Rfam family: Bacterial small subunit ribosomal RNA
Source: RNAcentral